UGAAGCAGAGGAGGGCUUCGCAGCAGGGGAGGAAGAAGGGGUCGGGCUUUCCGUGGGGCGGGAAUGUUACAGAAUCCCAGAGCUGGGUCAUCUAGAUUCUAGUCCAGCCCCUGCAAUGCAAAGCAUCCAGGACAGAUGGCCGUCCAACCUCUGCUUAAAAAUCCCCACAGCCUCCCAAGGGAGUCCAUUCCACCGUCGAACAGUUCUUCCUGUCAGAAAGUGCUUAAGUGAGGUUUAGUCGGAAUUUCCUUUCUUAUAACUUGAAGCCUCCCCCAAGCAGGAGAAAACAAGUUUGCUCCAUCCAUCACGUGACAGCCAUUUGAAGAUGGCAUCCGAUCUCUUCUCCAAUCUCCUUUUUUCCAUGCUAAACAUACCCAAACUCCCUCAACCAUUCCUCAGCGUAAGGCUUGGUUUCCAGACCCUGGAUCAUCUUGGUUGCCAUCCACUUCACACCUUCCAGCUCAUCAAUAUCCUUCUUAAAUUGUGGCACCCAAAAUUGGACACUGGACUCCAGGUGCGGCCUGCCCAAGACAGAAUAGAGCAGGACUAUGACUUCCUGUGAUUGGGACACGAUAGUAGUCUUGAUGCAGCCUAGAAUAGCAUUCACAUUUUUUGCUGCUGCAUUACACUGUUGUGUGUUAAGCUUGAGGUCUGCCAAGACCACCUAGAUCCUUUCCAUACUGUAAUGGCUUGGGUCUUUCCCACACAAGCGAGACGACUCUGGCAGUUAAUUAUUUCAGAUUUAUUAGUCAAAUCAAAAGGUCCUGGUCAGAGCUCAGCUAAUCUCCUUCAUCCUCAGAAAGCACAGUUGCCGGAACUGAGGCCCGCCCCCUUUUCCCCCAACAGGAAAACUCCCCACCUUCUCUUUCUGUCCCUUUUGCGCUUCUUGGCCAAUCUACUGAUCCUAUGAGGUUUUGGGGAGGGCACUCCAUGUAUUCCUGUGUCUGUAUCACUGUCUGAGCUGACAAGUUGCAUUCUUUCACUUUGGCUCUCUCUUUCAUUUUCCUUGUGUCAGAGAUCAGGUUUUUGCUGCUCCCUGCUGCUGCUGCUCCCUCCCCUCUGCAUUCCACUCUUACCUGCUCUCUCUCUCUCUCUCUCUCUCUCUCUCUCUCUCUCUCGGCCUGCGUUCUCAUUCCCUGUCAGUGAAGGAAUGGAGCUGACACAUAGGUACUACUGGCAAGCCAGGUGUCCCCCAUCUUAUAUUUUUACAGCUGGUUCUUUCUCUCUAAGUGCAGAACCUGACAUUUGUCCCUAUUGAAAUUCAUUUUGUUAGUUUUGGCCCAGUUUGUCUUCUGUGGCGUUGGCUACCCCUCCCAGUUUUGUGGCACCUGCAGAUUGGAUGAGCAUCCCCCUCAAUGUGUUUAUCCAAGUUGUUUAUAAAGAUGUUAACAAAAAACAGGCCCAGGAAAGAACCCUGCAGCACCCCACUUGUCACUUUUUUCCAAGAUGACAAGGAACCGUUGGUCAGCACUCUUUGGGUUCGGUCAGUCAACCAGCUGCAAAUCCACCUAACAGUUAUCUUGUCCAGCCCACUUUAUACCAGCUUCUCCGCAAGAAUAUCAUUUGUCAAAAGCCCUACUGAAAUCAAGAUACACAACAUCCACAGCAUCCCCCUGAUCCACCAAGUUUGUAAGGCUAUAAAGAAUGAGAUUCAUCUGGCAUGACUUGUUUUUGAGAAACCAAUGUUGGAUCUUAGUAAUCACAACAUCUUUUUCUAAGUGCUCACAGACUGACUGUUUAAUUAUCUGUUUUUGAACCUUUCCUGGUAACAACAUCAAGCUCACCAGUCAGUAGUCACCUGGGACUUCUCCCCCUCCCCUUUGAAGAUGGGGACAACAUUUGCCCACCUCCGGUCUGCAGGGACCUCACCUGUUUUAUAGACAGAAGCUCUGAGAUUACAUCCAUAAGCUCCUUUACUACCCUUGAGUGUAGCUCAUCAGGCCCUAGAGAUUUGAACUCAUUUAAAGUAGCCUGGUGUUCCCUUACCACCUCUUUUCCUAUUUUGGGAUGCAGCUCCCUCCUUGCGAGCCAGUGUGGUGUAGUGGUUAAGAGCGGUAGUCUUGUAAUCUGGGGAACCGGGUUUGCGUCUCCGCUCCUCCACAUGCAGCUGCUGGGUGACCUUGGGCCGGUCACACUUCUCUGAAGUCUCUCAGCCCCACUCACCUCACAGAGUGUUUGUUGUGGGGGAGGAAGGGAAAGAAGAAUGUUAGCCACUUUGAGACUCCUGAAGGGGAGUGAAAGGCGGGAUAUCAAAUCCAAACUCUUCUUCUUCUUCUUCUUGCACCAUUUGUUAUGUUAUCACCAGGUUGGGCAUUGCUUUCCUUUUGGGUGAAGACAAAUUAGGCGUUGAACAGUUCCACCUUCUUUUUGUCACCUGAUAAUAUUUCUCUGUAUUUCCCAUGCAAGGGACUUACUGUUUGCUUGAUCAUAUUGUUUCAAACAUAGCCGAGGAAACCUUUUUUAUUAUUUUAAACUGCUCUUGUAAGCCUAAGUUCAUUCUGAGCUUUGAGGAACUAUUUUAUUGCAUUGGGGUCUCGGGGGGAAUUGGAUGAGAGUUUAAAAGGGUGUGGAAAGGACUCUUCCUCGUGCCUCCUAGAAGCUGUCAGCAUGCCCCACACCCUAGGAACAGCUUUCACUGGUGUCUUAAGCAGGUGAGGGUAGCCAAUGGGUUUCACACCUUCAGUGAGCUAGGGACUUCCUCUGCAGGCAAAUACAGGCUCCAGCCUAUUGAGCGGAGGCGACCAGUAGAGGAUCCAACGACUGAGAAGGCGGUUUCUGUACGUUCUGUAGAGGGAAGUGAGGGACAGGUGGGGCUUAUCAACCUGGUAAGGUAUCCCAUCUAGGAGAAGGAAAAUUCUGAUCCUAAACCUCCACUACUUUGCAGGAUAUCUUCAGGAGAAGAAAAGGCUAAGAAGUAAACUCUACACAAAUCCCGAGUGGAGUCCCUUAGUUGGAGGGCGCCUUGUAACCUCUUUCUGGCAAUUCCUGCAGCCCAACUGGUGGCAAAUGCCUUGCUCUGCUUUCCUGUAGACCAUAUCAGUGAGGACAAGAGGCGGCCUUGUUGUCUGGGCAGCCCAGGACACACUGCCCAGACUUACGCCCCUGGGAGGUAAUUUUGGUGCUGCUAACGCAGCAGUUUGACUUCACCUACAAAAGUGCACUCCAUUUUCUUUUGAGAUAGAUGGGUGCCAACAACAAAUGUGUGUCUGUGUGUGUUAAAAAAGGGGUGUCAGAAGAAACCUUUCAACUUCAAACUAUGCAAAGUAAACAAAGUAACAAACAAUGAAACAAAGGGAUAAAGAUAUUAUGACACAAACUCAUCCAGGAAGGCCCCUCCCCUCACAACAGGGUUGCAUUGGCUCAAAAUAACGUUCAAACUGCAUACUUUUAAAAGUGGUAUUAUGAUGAUGAUGAUGAUGAAUAACACCCUUCAUCCAAAGAUCUCAGGGCAGUUCACAAGAUAUUGAUACAUAUUAUACAUCCUAUGGAUGUUGAGAGAGAGAAAUAGAUAAUAAGGAUGUCCUGGGGUUGCCAGUUUUGAAGAGCAAAAAGAGCAUUUGCCGGCUCCUGGGGGAGGGAGUGCAGGAGCAGGCGCAUUCUACAAUGUCCCUUCAAAAUAUACAGAAACAAGGACCUGGUCCUUUCCUGCAUAAUGCAAAACUCAUACAGUAUGUAUAUGUUUUGCACUUGGUUGUCUAGUACAGCAUAUUCAACAUAUAAAGUGGCCCACUCCUGCACUCCAGCACAUUUUGGCAAAUUCAAAAAAUCCACCUGGACAGAAAUUUUACCCCUGAAAAAGAGGCCAUGUCCUGGAAAAAGAGGACAUACGGUAUGUCAACCCUAUGUUCCUACUGGUUUGGGGUUGCUAUUAUUGAAAGAAAAGCAAAAAUGGUGAGUCUUAUUACAGAUUUCAUGCAGCAUGCCAGAUUUGUCCCUUUCUAGUGGCCUUUGCACAACACCUUGUGCACAGCAUUUAUCUGUUUAUCACAUAAAUAUAUAAAUAAGUACCACAUAGUGUUAAUGGACACUAGUUGUUUUUCCCCUCAUUAAUUAUUUCUUUUUCUUUUUUUAAAAUGUUUUUUAUUAAAAUUUCAGUAAAAGAUUAAACAGAAAAACAUAGAAACGAAGUACACAAACAUACAGUACAUAAUCCAAAAAAGAGUC
Molecule: non-coding RNA, 4164 nt
Organism: Podarcis lilfordi (Lilford's wall lizard)
Lineage: Eukaryota; Metazoa; Chordata; Lepidosauria; Squamata; Lacertidae
Source: the annotation of a GenBank genome assembly